This is a small nuclear RNA of Cotesia glomerata, 190 nucleotides long. RefSeq annotates it as U2 spliceosomal RNA. The record is from RefSeq and is a predicted model, not a curated record. NCBI's taxonomy places the organism in Eukaryota, Metazoa, Arthropoda, Insecta, Hymenoptera, Braconidae. The transcript has a single exon.
AUAUUGAAUUUUUUUUUGGUUCAAUAAAGAGAUUUAAAUCUGUUCUUAUCAGCUUAAUAUCUGGUACGAUUCUCAUUGAGAAUCCAGUAUAUUAACCUGAUUUUUGAAAAUAGGUGGAAAUCCGGGGCUUGCUCCGGUUCCGCGACAAGUUGCCUGGCAUUGCAGUGCCGCCAGAGUCAGCUCAAUAAUU